Molecule: long non-coding RNA, 394 nt
Filed under: Carica papaya (papaya)
Lineage: Eukaryota; Viridiplantae; Streptophyta; Magnoliopsida; Brassicales; Caricaceae
Description: long non-coding RNA (CPAP_LNC006956)
Source: RNAcentral
AAAUGCAGUAUUACCAUUUAUUCGAACUUUAAUUCCAUGAUAGGAAAUAGGGUGAUGGGUUCUUAUUUGAUUUGGCGUCGAAAACUAGAUUUUUACUGCGCUUACGGGCGAUCCCUAAUUCCCUGAAUUUUUUUUCGGGAAUUGAAACGCGCUUACAAUACCUACACAUGUCCCAAAUAACCCAAAAAAUCAUACCCAGGGCCUACUCGGCCAAUUUCAAAAUUCCGGCAUGACGGCUCCGCUGUGCUCCAUCGACGGCGCUGCCGCGAGCGGCAGUGAUUCGCCUCGGGUUGGCUGUUUUUGGCCGUUCUUGACCGAAUUCAGCCAAACUUGGAUCGGUUCCUGUGAGAAAACACACUUAGGGCCCUCGGUAGGCCGAAAAAAAUAUAAAAAA